CCCUCCAAGGAUGAUUAAAAAAAUAACUUUCGUUCUUCUGAGUUAUCUAUGUGGAAAAUUAUUGGAGACCUGAACUGAGGAAGGU
This 85-nucleotide small nucleolar RNA is filed under the name Lupinus angustifolius (narrow-leaved blue lupine). Its description in RNAcentral is "snoRNA snoZ159". It matches the Rfam family "Small nucleolar RNA Z159/U59". From Rfam's summary of the family: This family consists of several snoRNA Z159 or U59 sequences which are members of the C/D class of snoRNA which contain the C (UGAUGA) and D (CUGA) box motifs. The record is from Rfam by way of RNAcentral. Lineage: Eukaryota; Viridiplantae; Streptophyta; Magnoliopsida; Fabales; Fabaceae.